UGACGGAGGCCAGGGAGUAUUUCCUUGCCGGAAGGCCCGGGUAAUCUUGUUAAAUUCCUUCGUGCUGGGGAUAGAGCAUUGCAAUUAUUGCUCUUCACGAGGAAUCCUAGUAAGCGCAAGUCACAGCUGCGUUGAUACGUCCCUGCCCUUUGUACACACCGCCCGUCGCUACUACCGAUUGAUGGCUCAGUGAGGCUUCCGGAACUGGCCCAGAGAGGUGGGCAACUACCACUCAGGGCCGGAAAGCUCUCCAAACUCGGUCAUUUAGAGGAAGUUAAAAGUCGUAACAAGUCUCCGUUGGUGAACSASCGGAGGGAUCAUUACCGAGUUUACAAAACUCCCAAACCCCUGUGAACUAUACCUGUCACUGUUGCUUCGGCGGUACCGACCCCCCGGGAAACCGGGACCAGGCGCCCGCCGGGGAUCCUAGUAACAUCUUGAAUCUUCUAUAUAAUAUGGCAUCUUCUGAGUGGUGGGAAAAAAAUGAAUCAAAACUUUCAACAACGGAUCUCUUGGUUCUGGCAUCGAUGAAGAACGCAGCGAAAUGCGAUAAGUAAUGUGAAUUGCAGAAUUCAGUGAAUCAUCGAAUCUUUGAACGCACAUUGCGCCCGUCAGUAUUCUGGCGGGCAUGCCUGUUCGAGCGUCAUUACGCCCCUCAAGCCCCCUGUGGGUUUGGUGUUGGGGAUCGGCGAAGCUUUUUUCAGCACGCGCCGUCCCUUAAAUUUAUUGGCGGUCUCGCCGUGGCCUUUCCUCUGCGCAGUAGUAACUCACUCGCAACGGGAGCCCGGCGCGGUCCACUGCCGUAAAACCCCCCAAUCAACUUUGUUACAGUUGACCUCGAAUCAGGUAGGACUACCCGCUGAAACUUAAGCAUAUCAAUAAAGCGGAGGAAAAGAAAACCAACAGGGAUUGGCCCAAGUAAACGGCGAAGUGGAAGCCGGCAAACAGCUUCAAAUUUGAAAUUCUGGGCCCCCCCCCGGGGUUCCGAAUUUGUAAUUUUGCAAAAGGAAUGCUUUUGGGCGAGUUGCCCUUCCCGAAGUUCCCUGGGAAAACGGGGAACGCCAUUAAGGGGUGAAGAAGCCCCCGUCUUGGUUGGGAACACCCGAAGCCCCCCUGUAAAGCUUCCUUGAACAAAUCAAGUAAUUUUGGGGAAAUGGCUGCUCCUAAAAUGGGAUGGGAUAUUUGUCUUUCUUAAAAGCUAAAAUUACUGGGGCCC
RNAcentral lists this ribosomal RNA (1216 nucleotides) under Metarhizium acridum. Its description in RNAcentral is "eukaryotic LSU rRNA". The stretch from base 1 to 323 matches the Rfam family "Eukaryotic small subunit ribosomal RNA". Lineage: Eukaryota; Fungi; Ascomycota; Sordariomycetes; Hypocreales; Clavicipitaceae. The record is from RNAcentral.